ACUCUAUAUACAUCUGAUCAUCACAAGGUGUUUCAUUGUGCUUCUAUGUGUUUUAAAACAAAAACUUUUCUCUGGGGCAACUUCAUCAUCCCAUUCUAUCGUUGCAUAAUUGUAGUAAUUAUGUGAUGAUUUCAUGUAACUAUAAAAUACUUUAAUUUAUAGCCUGUGUAUUGGUUUCUUUACUUAUCAUUUUUGUGUGGGUGUAUACAUUGACUCGACUAUGAGCUUGUUAGAAGCGUUUGCAACCAUACUAUCUCGUUUGCUUAGUUAACUUAAUUACAACUGUAUUGCUUAGUGAUGUUGUUGUUGUUGCUAAAAGGACAAACAAAAGUAACUUUGUAUCAUCUUAUUGGAUAAACUUAUGAAAACCCUUUGACAAACAAAAGUUCUGUCACAAGGUCUUGUGUUAUCAUAUUUUUUUUAAAAAAAUUUAAUAUCAAAACAACAGCAAAUACAUAUGACUCUUGACUUUAAGCAUCUGCAGCAAAUAAAAGGUAUGUUCCAUCUGUGCUGACUCGAACUAGUUUAUAGGAGUUAAGACCCACAGGCUGAUAAACGCGUGUCAUUUCAUCUUUAGACGAGGUCAGUUGUCGUCGUUUUGAUAAAAGCCAUUUGCUCAUUCUCCCACUCUUAAGCCGACGCGAGCCGUAUUUAAGCUGUCUCCUACCACGGGUAUUUGUAAUCGUAUUCGAAUCUUUUUUUUCUUUCUAAUACAAUACAGUAUUAGUUUGUAAUUUAUCACUUUUGUUUCAUUUCUUUAUAAUCGCACUAGUGCUGAUUGUUUACAUUUUAUUAAUCGUAAAUGUAUUUUUCUUUUUGGAAAACAUUAGAAAAUUAAGGAAAUCAAUGACGAUGUAUCAAACGACCUAUUACCAGAGUUUCAUUAUAAUAUAAUUAGUUAUAUAUAUAUAUAUAUAUAGAAUUUUAAUUUAUCUUAAUCUACGCAUAAGAUUAUUCCUAGUGCAGUUUAUAUUGUUUAGAUGGUAUUGCGUUUGAGAAUUAGGGGAGUUCAAUUUAUUAGGAUUGAGUGGUAUUCAUGUCGAACUAUCGAAUAGUCUCUAAGUCAUAAACUAGUACUACACAUGUAUUAAUUUAAAAAUUUGCUGCAUUUAUUUGGCAAAAAAAAAGUUUGCUGUACUCUAAAAUAAAAUUAAAAUCUCUAUAUAUUCAAAGGAUCACAUCAGCUAAUUAAAUGUUUCCAAAUUUGAGUGUUAUAAAAUUUUCCAGAAAUAACGUUGAUAGCUGAGAGGGACCUUUGAAAAUCAUCACAUCUUAUAAUUAUAUGUUCACAAAUUAUUUUAUUAAACCCCAUUUGCGUGUUUAUGUAUAUUUAAUUAUUUAUAUACAAAUUGAAAAGCCUUUCAACAAAUCAUCAAUAAGGUUUAAACCUAAAUUAACAAUCUAUAGCGAAAUCAUUCCUCCUUAACCUAGAAUCUAAAUCCAGAAGACGAAUCGGCUAAUCAAACGACUAACGAAGAAACAAUCUGAGGAUUCGGGAAAAGAACUUUUACCUUCUCUGCGUCGCUUUCGCUUCUCUGAAUUCAAAUUAGUGCUCCGAUCUCGAAAAGGGAAGAUAAUGAAAGUAAUCUCACGUGUAGGGCUGUUGAUAUUUAAUUUAUAGGCAACGAUGUCAAAAGCAAGUUGACGAUCCUACGGUUGUUAUCGCUCAUCGGUGUGUUUCUCGUGUUUCUUAAUCGUACCGACUAAAAUACCACAAUAUGUGUUUUCUCUCAGCCAGUCAACGGUUCAGAUCUACCGUUUACACGUUUGACGAGGAUCGCCAAUCCUACGUGGUUGAUUCCUAUUGGUUGAAUACUAAACGUCACGGAUCGAUGACAUCAACCGUUCUAAUGUAGAAAUAUAAUGGGCUUAAAGAUAAGGCCCAUUAAUUACAGAAUCCUACGGGCACGUUACGUGCCGGUUUAGUUUAUUUUGCAUUAAAAACCAAUUUCGGAGUCGUCAUCUUCCUCUUCGCCCAGAUUCACUUCCUUCGAGAAGAUUCGCAUCAUUUUCCCAGGUAUAGAUUCUCUGACGAGAUCUGAUUCUAGUUUGUUGCUUAUUGUUCUUGUAGAUUCGAAUCCGGCGAUUAUCAAUUGCAUUUCGUGCUGGAUUCAAUUCGAAAGAUCCGAUCUAAUCGUUUUGGUUGGUGUUGAUUCAGUUAUGGAUUGGCAAGGACAGAAACUAGCGGAGCAGCUGAUGCAGAUCCUGCUCUUGAUCGCCGCCGUUGUGGCGUUCGUCGUUGGUUACACGACGGCGUCGUUUAGGACGAUGAUGUUGAUUUACGCGGGAGGGGUUGGUGUCACGACGUUGAUCACGGUGCCGAACUGGCCAUUCUUUAACCGUCAUCCACUCAAGUGGUUGGAACCAAGUGAAGCGGAGAAGCAUCCUAAACCGGAAGUCGUUGUUAGCUCGAAGAAGAAGUCAUCUAAAAAGUAGCAAAUCGUCUUUUGUAAUCUCUCUUUUUUUCUAGACCUUUGAUAUAAAAAAAAAGAACAUGUUCUGGAUUUUGCUUAUGAAUAAGAUAUAGUCUAAAUGACAUAAUAAUUUCGAUUGAUUCUGAGACAUCUUUGCUUAAUUGUUAUGUAAGAAGACAAUUUAAACGUUGUCUGUAAAGAACAGAACCGAGCCCAUGUCUUUUUAGUUUUUACUAAGUGUUCAAAUCAAUCACUAGAAAAAGAGCAAUGGUAGCAAGAGCUAGUAUAGACUCUACAAUCCGUGCCAUUACAAGAGAGCUAGAGGAGAGUGACGAGAAUGAAAAUGAGAAGAGCAGCGAUGAAAGAAUACUUGAGAGCAGCGACAAGGAUAGCAAAAGAGAUGAAGAAGAGCUGGGAUAAGACUUGAAGGCUAGCCCAUGUCAGUACUCCAGCUAAUCCAACGGCCGCAAAGUUAUCUUGAUCCGGCUUCAGUAGAUCCCCCAACCGGAAACUGAAACCAGGGAAUCCAUCUUUCUCGGGAGCAUCACCAUCAUCGUUACUAACCGGUCUGUUACCACCACCAGAAGACUCCUUAUUGCCACCGCCAUUUUGGGCAUACGUUCUGAGCUUUAACGGGGAUUUGCAGAAACUAACAUGAUGAUGGUGAUGAGGAAUGAUGUAUGAAUAACGAGGCUUUGGUGUGAUGGGCACAAAGGGCUUUAGUGUUAGCAGCAUCGCGGAUUGUGGAUUUAAAAUCAAAAUGAUCUUUGCUAUGAUAGUAGGAGCUGGUAAGUCUAUCUGCACUCGAGAAAAACAGAGGUCAAAUAGAAUCUAAGCAUAUCGAAAUGACUACUGGAACUCAAAAUCAAAGCGAAAUCCUAAUUCUCGCCAUGAUAUUUUAUAACUUGAAUCGAGCUAAAACCAAUACCCAGAUAUGAAUCAAUCUGCAUUCCAUCGGAUUAUCCAAAACAGAUCAUUCAUUCAUUCGAAAUCUCUACACCUCUAAGAGGUCAAGUCCGAUUGAAAAAGUUAUACGAAACCAAACACACCUGGAAUCCGCCAUGUUUCCUCCUCUCCACUCGCGAGAUAUGUAGUAGAACUAGAAGACAAAUCGAAAUCAACCGGUUGGUUUAAGAAAUUAGACUCAAUGGCUAAGAUUCAAUCUUACGGAGACACCAGCAAUAUUUAAACGGCUAGGAUCUUCUCCCUUGCUAUUUUAAUAUUUUGGUCUUUUUUAAGUUUCAAUCUUUUUUUUCUUUCUUCUCUAUAGCUCAAAUGUUGAGUAAACAUCAUGAUCAUAAAGAACAUGUAAAGAAACAAUGACACACUUUUAUUUAUGCAAUGCAGAGUUUUACCUCAGAUACACAAAACAAACCAUCCUGAGAAGAGAGAAGGAAAAGAGACUAGUAAAUUAUUACCUGGGUUCUAAUCUUUUACAAAGAACAACACAAAGCUAAAGAAUCAUCAAAACUAGAAAGAAAAAAAAUUCAAUCUCCAAAUUACACUUUCUUUAUACCCUAAAAAAAUACAGACUUUUUCUAUAAAAAAAAAGUGAACAUACAACCUAUUCCACCUACCAACCUCCCCGACCACAGAGAUGGAGAUAUAGAGUGAGAGAGAGGCUCAUAGGUUUCUCUAGUUUUUAUGUCUUGCUGAAGUGGAAAGAUUUGGCAACACCCAAGUGAUCAGCUAGCCGUUCUACUGUGGACUGCACCGUUUUAGACACCGGUGAGAGCGAAUCUGGGAGACUCGGGUGGCAUUGUGGUAAAUACGGGUCAUCAUCCUCUGUGCGGCUCAAGCAAGUGAGUACAGACCGGCAGAAUAUGAAUCUACACAACAACCAAGGUAAUAUUAGAGAAGCUGCCUUGUCUGGUUCUGAUUCCCAAAACUUUUAAAAAAUAAGACUCACCUGAGAAUCAGCCGUCUCAAGAACUGAUCAGGCAAGACCUGUGCCCAGACAAGAUUCAAGACUUUGGAAGUCAAGAGGAUCGUUUCCCACUCAGAGAAAGAAGCAGAUAGUAUGCUCUCUGCUUCAUCAUAAACCUCCUGAAGAUAUGUGAUCAAGAUGGUAAGAAGCAAUGCCACCACAUCAUGAUAACAUACGCUUUGCUUCAUUUAAGGUACUUACAGGUUCGGGAUCCGAGUUCGAGAGGCCCAGCAUUUGACAGAAUGCUUGUAAAGGAGCUGUCAAGAAAAAAGUAAACUGGCUUCCGUUUAGUGCUGCUGCUGUAUCAUCAGCAGAUGGGUUCUCCAGAGAUGGCUUCAGAGGCGAAAGAAGUAGAGCAACAGGCUCUCCUCUCUCUGCACCAUUCAAAACCUGAAGCUCACAAUCCGUUAGCCAAUAUCGCACAGUGACAAAGAACAACUAUAAGAAUCUCCUGAGAGAAUGAUAAGACUAAGUUAGGACAAACCUGCCUUGAAUGCUCGGCUAGUGUCGCUAUCAAUGACCAAGAAAAGCGGUUUCCGCGUAAAAGGGAUUAGAUCACCAGGGUAAAGGUUGUUUGAACCUGAAAAAAACAAAAAACAAGACAGUGAGUGAGAAAAGUCUGCUCAUUCAGUGCCCACUGGAGACAUAUAACAAUGUAAAUCCGAGGAAAACAACUUACCAGAGCCUCCUCUAGGACCUAACCAAAGAUAAUCAUCAUAAUAACCCCCAGAAGAUUUGUGUCCGUUGCUAAGAGGUUCUGACUUGUAACUCUUCUGCUCUUGGGAAGCUCGGCCAAGCAGCUUGCUUUUUGAUGUUCUGCUUGAACCGACAGCGUUCUCCGGUUGCGCAACAUUCUCACGAGCAGCAGGGCCACCUGGUUAAUCGUCACCAACAUGUUAACAUCAAGAAGUUCCAAGUGACAAAAAAAAAAAAAACUAACCUGAAGCAGAUAGAUAUAUCAGCAUCACACACUCUGGAGAGAGUUCAUCACAGAUCAUCGCCAAGACCUGAACAUAUAUAAAGGAAAAAAAAAAUCAGAAACUCCUAAAGAUUAUUUUCCUAUAUGAAACAGAUAAAAAAAAAAACCUCACCGCAAGCAAGUGGGACACUGUGGGACGAUAAAGAACAGCUUUCCUAGGAUUAGGAGGUAACGACGGAUCAGCCAUAUCAGCAGCCAAUUUCAUAUCUAUAAUCCCAGAGGUCAGCGUAUGAUCAACCACAAAACCAUUCUCUUUCGUCUCAACAGGCCGCUUCUGGUAAAAAGACCCACUAGGCUCCCACUCUAAACACUGCAUCAUUCUAUACGUAUCCAACGUCACUUCAGCGUAUUUCACCUAAAUGAUUACAAAGGCCACAGCGUAUGAAUCUUAGGUUCAAUAAAAACAAAACACUGCUUGUUUAAUGCUUACCUCGUUACGGUGAUAGCUAGCUAAUAGAGCAUCACGAAACUUGAAGAGCUUCUUAGCGUGGAACCUCGCUAGGUACGUGUGAGAAGCUGGAUAGGAAUCAAGCAUAGCGCAGUAACGAAGCGGCCUGACAUAAGUUAAGUCCACGUCAGCUUUAGUAAACCGAGUGAUCUCUUGCACAACUAUCCUCCACUCCUUAAAGUUGGUCUCCUGCACCAAAAGAUCAAAACUUUAUUCAACCAGAGGCUCAAUUCUCAAAAGCCUCAAAUCAAAAAGAUUAAAUCUUUUACCCUAAAAUUAGACUUGCUGUCAUCAACCAAAGCCCUAAGCUUCUCAGCCAAGUGCAAAACCAUCUCCCUCCGAUCAACAAUCAACGCAACGAGCAAGAACCUCGCGUAGAACCUCAGCUCCUUGGACCUCGCGCUGAGAUCCUUCCUCUCCUCCCCUUCCUCGAAGUACCUCCGCUUGAGAAUGGCCUCGUAGAAGACGUAGGACUCGAGGAGGAAGCGAGCCUCGCUGGUCCUCAUGUACUGGCUGAAGUAGAGCUGCCCAAUCCGGCUCGCGAUCUCGCCGAUCUCCCACCGGUUCAGCCCCGACGCGACGAGCUUGGGCCGGUGGGACUGCUGGUAAUUCCAGAGCUUCAUGUAGGCCUUGAAGACCUUGUGGAAGUAGUGGCUCUGCGCUCGCCCGAAGGCCGGGAGAUCGCGGACUCUCGCGAACUUGCGGUCCGCGUUCUCCACCAGGGCUCGGAAAUUGCGCGACACGUCUUCCUCCGCCAUUUUGCGACUGUUUUGUUGCCCCUUUUAGUUGCGGUGAGAGUCGCCGUCGUUUACCAUCGGCGGAGAGAAAGAGAGAGAGAAAGGGAAAGACUUUAAUGAGAUUGGCGGUGGAGAGAGAGAGAGAGAGAGAGAACAGAUGAGAAGAGUAAAUAUGGUUUUCCUUUUCUUUUUUAAUAUUGCUUCAAUUUAUCUUCCUUAUUUUUCCAUUUUUAUUUUAUUUCCUCCUUUUAGGUCUUCACCUUUACAAAAGCAGUUGAAAAAACAGUAGAAUCCUUGGGAUUAAUAGUAAUCUUUCAUUUCAUAAUUAUUGUUAGUUCAAAACCUGUGAAUUUUGAGAGAAAAAAACAAUAAUAAAUCUGAGGUAUACUCCAAAUGUUCGAUGUUUUAGCUUCUUUCUCGUAUAUAAAUAUAUGAUUUUUUUUUUAUUAAUGUAUUAGUUUUAAAAUAAAAUAUGAAGCAAAAUGUAAGUGGUUAAAUUUUAUUGACAAUAGAAAAAAAAAUUAAACUAACUAAAAAGUCCAUAGUAGACAAAAAUAUUUUUUUUUUAUUUGUAUGAAUUACCUUAAAAAGUUAUACAUUUUUAUUCGGAGAUAGUAUCAUUUAAGAAAAAAUUAUAUGUUUAAGAUAAUUAUUAAAAUAUUAUUUUUAUGUAGAAAUACUAUGAUUAGCUAUCACGAUACUAUUUUCAUUCAGAAUUUUAUUACAUCAAGGUUUAGUUUAGCAAAUGCGUGACAUUGAAAUUUAAAACUACCAUUAUUCAUCCUUUUUCAUUUCAGUACCAAAACAUUUAAUAAUGUUAUUAGCUGGAUUAUUGCAGAUAGGAGUAUGCAUCGCUAUGAGCAAAAACGCAUGUGCGCACGAACCCACAAAAGAAUUUGCAGAAUCAUAAAAUCCCGUGUGUUGUGUAAUCAUGGUAAGCAGGAAGAGCUGGCAUCAACGCAAAAUAUGUACUCGAUGAUGAUACUCGCAGUCCAUACAGUGUCAUGGUAUAGUUUAAGCAAAUGUCCUUAACGUACGUACCUACUUGGUUAGAGAAGAUAAUAUUUUCUUAUUCAGUCUCCACAAUUAACUAACUGACCCAUAUACUAAUCGUGGCAACAUGGCAAAUUAUAUGAUCUUUUUUAGUUAGUUUUCUUCAGUAAUACGUUCUUAAAUUAAAUGAUGGUAGCAACACGCAACUUGCACAUGAUAUGGCUAUAUAUCAUUUUAUCAUAUGCCGACGCACGGCAUGGCGAGAAGCCUUUUUUAUAUUUCCCCUAACUACGAGUAAUUAUAUGCGGAUGUAUUUGUCAAACUCAUGAAAGAUGAUUCGGUGAAUCAGUGGCAAACAUCUAUAACAAUACCAACUCGAUUGCUAAGAGGAACCCUAGGGGAAAGUGUUAUUAGUUAGAAUAUGCAUAACAAAGGCGUUGACUUUUUAAUAUUGGUCACUAGUUUUUUUUUACUUUCCGGGUGUUGUUCCAAAUUCAGCUAAUGGUGUAAUCAUCACAUAUACUGAAAUUUAUUUAUAAAGGUGGACCGACGUGACCUGUCGUGAUGCUGAUUCUCAUUUUUUGGGGUAUUGUUGAGAACAUUAUAAAUUUAAGAAGAUAAGAAAUCGAUUUUUUCAAGGGUUGAGUUUGAUUUAAUAUCAUUGCAUAAAUGAAUAAAAACUGCUUAAGAUUCAUCUUUGGGUUCUAAUUAUGUGGUUAUCUAAUAUAAAGAGAAUCUUUAGAUGGUUGACAAAAAAAGAGAGUUCGUAGAAAAUGAGAGUACAGUAUGUAUAUUUUAUACUAAAACGAGUAUACACAAAUAUGUCAUAUAAACAUUUUGUCUCUACACCUGCAAAUUACAAUAUCAGUGGGGCAUGUUUCCAUUAACUUUUUGUAGUAGUGGUUAGAUGUUAGUUGUCUGAACUCUAUUUAUUUAUUUUUAAAUUUUGAAUAUUCAUAUUUCAAUUUGGUCCUACUUUGUUUGACAUAAAUUAGGAAAUCUAAACUAAUUUUAUUUGCUUGGCGGACCAAAUGGUACGUCGCCUUUGUUAAAAGCUUUAUUAGGUGGGAAACUUUAUUUGCUAAUUAUAAAAUGUACCUCUAUAUUGGACAAGUUUUAGUUAAUUGCUUCGUAUGUACAUCCUCUUAUCACAUGAAUACAUUCCAUUAGACUAAAAAACAAACAAAAACUCCAAGCUAAUAAAUCAUUAAAAAUAGUAAUAAUUUUAAAAUCCUCACCCAGCGCUAUAUAAUUAUUUGUCUUAUAUAUAACACUCCACAUUCCACAUCAUAAUAUAACAGUGAGAAGAUAUGUUAUCGAGUUUCAUGUAUAUUUAAAUAUUUUGUUGUUUAGCUUGAUGGACUGGUCGUAGGUGGCUAUAUACCAAGUUAUUCGACAGCCGUGAUAAAGUGUUUAUAAAGAAGGUAAAGAUAGAGAAGAAGGAAAAACAUAAAGAACAAAAGAACAUAUUUGUGAAGUCAAUACCAAGAACAUACUAGUGUCAAAGUAAAAAAAGAAGGCAGAAGAAAGAAGUAAAGAUUGUUAUAAUAAUUAUGUCAACAUACUGUUAGUUGGCACAAAGUGGAUUUAAAAGCUUUUGCACCACCAGAUCAAAAGAAGGUGCGCAGUGAUAACGAGGAAAGAAAGAAAAAAAAGAAUGAAAGUUCAGCUAGCACUAAAGUAAACCUUGGAUACCUAUUAGGCUUUUGUAUAAAUAAUAGAUUAAAAUUGUAUUAAAACUAUACUAUAUGAAAAAAACGGUGCUUAUCAGUUAUCACAUCACACAUCCUUUUGCUUCUAUUGAUUUAGUUUGGGCUAACUAGCCCAAUAAGUACUCUAUUCCAUGUUUAUUGGGUUUCUAAUCAAAUAGAAUAGCAGAAAGUUGAUAUAUGAAAAAGGCAAUUGUAGAGUUGCUUCUCUUCUUUUAUAUGUAAACCCUAAUUUGCAAAUAGUAAAUUUUCUCAAAAAAACGUUAACAAGAAGUGGUGACAAUGUCCGAAUCCUUCUCUGAAGAACCACCGCGUAAUAAGAAGAAGAAGCCAUCCAUGUCUCCGUCGUUUUCCUUAUCGUCGCUGCCAGAUGAGGUGGCUUUGAGCUGCAUGGCUCUACUCUCGAGAUCGGACCAUGCAUCCUUAUCUCGCGUCUCCAAGAGAUACCGCUCUCUCGUGGCUUCCCCUGAGCUCUACAAGAUUCGCUCGCAGCUAGGUUACAGCUGCUUCUACGUAUGCUUGAGCAUCCACGGUCCUUACUCAACCCCACGUUGGUUCAUCAUCAGCCGUGAAAAAACCGUGAACAGGCUCAUGACCCCUAUCCCUCCUUGCCCUUCUUCUCACCCUUUGAAAGGAUUCUCCGUGGUGUCGCUUGACUGUGGCAUAUAUGUAAUCGGUGGGUCCAUAACGAGAAAGAGAGAGUACUUCCGUUCUUCGGACCCCCCUUCUUCUAGUGUGUUGCUCUUGGAUUGUCGGACUCACACGUGGCGUCAAGUCCCUUCCAUGAAAGUGGCUCGAUGUGAGGCGGCUGCUGGAGUCGUUGAUGGGAAGAUAUACGUGUUUGGAGGCUGCGGCCAUAAUGAGACCUAUGGAGAGGUAUUUGACCCAAAGACUCAAACGUGGACUACUUUGCCGCCAGUGCCGGAUAGUGUAAAAGAGUAUGUCCCAUUCAAAAAGACCAUGGUGAUGGGUGAGAAGAUUUACCCAGUGCCUUUCUGGAAUUCACCAAACCUAUUAUACUACUCUCCCAACGAAGGUAUAUGGGGAAGAAGGAUGAAGGAUGUUGAUGUUUCGAAGAUAGGAACCAAAAGUUAUUGUUUUAGUAUGGCAGAGAAUGUAUUAUACAGUUGUGAUGACUACGGGAAUAUGUUUUGGAGUGAGCCAGAGGAUUCGGAUUGGAAUAAAGUCGAGGGUUUAGGGGCUCUACAUAAUCAUUUUUACAAACCGCUGGCUAGCUUUAUUUGGGAUACGUCACCGUGUGAUGAGUUGUUGAGAACUUUCGGUACCAACAUUUUGAUCUUUUGGUUCAAGUAUAACCCUAAGAAUACGAAAGUGGAUAUCUGGUGUGCCGAGAUUUCCUUUGAAAGACUCCAUGACAAAGGUGAGAUUAUCGGUAAGAUUGAGUGGUUGCAAUCUGUUGCUGGAGUUAAAGGCCAUUCCUCGAGUCACCUUGAGGUUUUACAUUCUGCUUAUGUCAAUGUUUAGACUCUAUAUACAUCUGAUCAUCACAAGGUGUUUCAUUGUGCUUCUAUGUGUUUUAAAACAAAAACUUUUCUCUGGGGCAACUUCAUCAUCCCAUUCUAUCGUUGCAUAAUUGUAGUAAUUAUGUGAUGAUUUCAUGUAACUAUAAAAUACUUUAAUUUAUAGCCUGUGUAUUGGUUUCUUUACUUAUCAUUUUUGUGUGGGUGUAUACAUUGACUCGACUAUGAGCUUGUUAGAAGCGUUUGCAACCAUACUAUCUCGUUUGCUUAGUUAACUUAAUUACAACUGUAUUGCUUAGUGAUGUUGUUGUUGUUGCUAAAAGGACAAACAAAAGUAACUUUGUAUCAUCUUAUUGGAUAAACUUAUGAAAACCCUUUGACAAACAAAAGUUCUGUCACAAGGUCUUGUGUUAUCAUAUUUUUUUUAAAAAAAUUUAAUAUCAAAACAACAGCAAAUACAUAUGACUCUUGACUUUAAGCAUCUGCAGCAAAUAAAAGGUAUGUUCCAUCUGUGCUGACUCGAACUAGUUUAUAGGAGUUAAGACCCACAGGCUGAUAAACGCGUGUCAUUUCAUCUUUAGACGAGGUCAGUUGUCGUCGUUUUGAUAAAAGCCAUUUGCUCAUUCUCCCACUCUUAAGCCGACGCGAGCCGUAUUUAAGCUGUCUCCUACCACGGGUAUUUGUAAUCGUAUUCGAAUCUUUUUUUUCUUUCUAAUACAAUACAGUAUUAGUUUGUAAUUUAUCACUUUUGUUUCAUUUCUUUAUAAUCGCACUAGUGCUGAUUGUUUACAUUUUAUUAAUCGUAAAUGUAUUUUUCUUUUUGGAAAACAUUAGAAAAUUAAGGAAAUCAAUGACGAUGUAUCAAACGACCUAUUACCAGAGUUUCAUUAUAAUAUAAUUAGUUAUAUAUAUAUAUAUAUAUAGAAUUUUAAUUUAUCUUAAUCUACGCAUAAGAUUAUUCCUAGUGCAGUUUAUAUUGUUUAGAUGGUAUUGCGUUUGAGAAUUAGGGGAGUUCAAUUUAUUAGGAUUGAGUGGUAUUCAUGUCGAACUAUCGAAUAGUCUCUAAGUCAUAAACUAGUACUACACAUGUAUUAAUUUAAAAAUUUGCUGCAUUUAUUUGGCAAAAAAAAAGUUUGCUGUACUCUAAAAUAAAAUUAAAAUCUCUAUAUAUUCAAAGGAUCACAUCAGCUAAUUAAAUGUUUCCAAAUUUGAGUGUUAUAAAAUUUUCCAGAAAUAACGUUGAUAGCUGAGAGGGACCUUUGAAAAUCAUCACAUCUUAUAAUUAUAUGUUCACAAAUUAUUUUAUUAAACCCCAUUUGCGUGUUUAUGUAUAUUUAAUUAUUUAUAUACAAAUUGAAAAGCCUUUCA
RNAcentral lists this long non-coding RNA (12056 nucleotides) under Brassica rapa (field mustard). RNAcentral's name for it is "long non-coding RNA (BRAP_LNC000010)". The record is from RNAcentral. Lineage: Eukaryota; Viridiplantae; Streptophyta; Magnoliopsida; Brassicales; Brassicaceae.